AUGCAAACAGCAGCACAUAUACUAAAAUUGGAAUGAUACAGAGAAGAUUAGCAUGGCCCCUGCUUAAGAAUGGCAUGCAAAUUCAUGAAACGUUACAUAUUUUU
This is a small nuclear RNA of Thamnophis elegans (Western terrestrial garter snake), 104 nucleotides long. Lineage: Eukaryota; Metazoa; Chordata; Lepidosauria; Squamata; Natricidae. The record is from RefSeq and is a predicted model, not a curated record.